Molecule: ribosomal RNA, 1438 nt
Filed under: Klebsiella pneumoniae
Lineage: Bacteria; Pseudomonadati; Pseudomonadota; Gammaproteobacteria; Enterobacterales; Enterobacteriaceae
Description: bacterial SSU rRNA
Rfam family: Bacterial small subunit ribosomal RNA
Source: RNAcentral
CCAUGCAGUCGAGCGGUAGCACAGAGAGCUUGCUCUCGGGUGACGAGCGGCGGACGGGUGAGUAAUGUCUGGGAAACUGCCUGAUGGAGGGGGAUAACUACUGGAAACGGUAGCUAAUACCGCAUAACGUCGCAAGACCAAAGUGGGGGACCUUCGGGCCUCAUGCCAUCAGAUGUGCCCAGAUGGGAUUAGCUAGUAGGUGGGGUAACGGCUCACCUAGGCGACGAUCCCUAGCUGGUCUGAGAGGAUGACCAGCCACACUGGAACUGAGACACGGUCCAGACUCCUACGGGAGGCAGCAGUGGGGAAUAUUGCACAAUGGGCGCAAGCCUGAUGCAGCCAUGCCGCGUGUGUGAAGAAGGCCUUCGGGUUGUAAAGCACUUUCAGCGGGGAGGAAGGCGAUAAGGUUAAUAACCUUGUCGAUUGACGUUACCCGCAGAAGAAGCACCGGCUAACUCCGUGCCAGCAGCCGCGGUAAUACGGAGGGUGCAAGCGUUAAUCGGAAUUACUGGGCGUAAAGCGCACGCAGGCGGUCUGUCAAGUCGGAUGUGAAAUCCCCGGGCUCAACCUGGGAACUGCAUUCGAAACUGGCAGGCUAGAGUCUUGUAGAGGGGGGUAGAAUUCCAGGUGUAGCGGUGAAAUGCGUAGAGAUCUGGAGGAAUACCGGUGGCGAAGGCGGCCCCCUGGACAAAGACUGACGCUCAGGUGCGAAAGCGUGGGGAGCAAACAGGAUUAGAUACCCUGGUAGUCCACGCCGUAAACGAUGUCGAUUUGGAGGUUGUGCCCUUGAGGCGUGGCUUCCGGAGCUAACGCGUUAAAUCGACCGCCUGGGAGUACGCCGCAAGGUUAAAACUCAAAUGAAUUGACGGGGGCCCGCACAAGCGGUGGAGCAUGUGGUUUAAUUCGAUGCAACGCGAAGAACCUUACCUGGUCUUGACAUCCACAGAACUUAGCAGAGAUGCUUUGGUGCCUUCGGGAACUGUGAGACAGGUGCUGCAUGGCUGUCGUCAGCUCGUGUUGUGAAAUGUUGGGUUAAGUCCCGCAACGAGCGCAACCCUUAUCCUUUGUUGCCAGCGGUUAGGCCGGGAACUCAAAGGAGACUGCCAGUGAUAAACUGGAGGAAGGUGGGGAUGACGUCAAGUCAUCAUGGCCCUUACGACCAGGGCUACACACGUGCUACAAUGGCAUAUACAAAGAGAAGCGACCUCGCGAGAGCAAGCGGACCUCAUAAAGUAUGUCGUAGUCCGGAUUGGAGUCUGCAACUCGACUCCAUGAAGUCGGAAUCGCUAGUAAUCGUAGAUCAGAAUGCUACGGUGAAUACGUUCCCGGGCCUUGUACACACCGCCCGUCACACCAUGGGAGUGGGUUGCAAAAGAAGUAGGUAGCUUAACCUUCGGGAGGGCGCUUACCACUUUGUGAUUCAUGACUGGGGUGAAGU